GCCAUGGCUGGGUGGGGUGAGGGACAAGGACACUGAAGGGCAGGCACAGCAGGCGAGGAUGGGGGUGGCCUGCACUGUAGGCAGAGGUGAGACUUCCAGGGACCCCAGGAUAAUGGGGUGCUCCACUCCACAGGCCGGGGACUUCCAAGCCAGUGCCCUGUCUUAACAUUCUGAUGAUCCGAUCACACAGACUUCCUCUCCUAAUAAAUCAGCAGCUCAAGGUUACCCAGGAUGACGUCACUCUUGGCCUUGAAGUCCCAUCUGUUUCCUGAGUGCAGAGGAGGAUUUACAGCCUGCGUGCACUGUGACCCACAUUCCCAGGAUCAACGGCUGGGCGUUCCCGAGUACCCCCGGCACAUCACUCCCGGAGUCUCAGCUUCUGUCUUCCUCUUGGAGUCCAGGUGAUAACAGUGACCCCCUAAGACAACUGUGAGGCUGGGAGACUGAACUGCGUGUCCUAAGCACAGAGAAGGACAGCACCUGUCAGGGCCAGAGAUGCCAUGGCACUGGGGCAGCAAAGGCUUAGCUCCUGAGGGUGACGCGUGUGGUCAAGACAUCCUGGACAGGGCGCGAGACUCGCAUGUGGUCACAGCUGGCAGUGGUGUGAGGCUGCCUCGCCCGAUGCCCUUGGAUGGCGGCAGUGCUCAGCUCCACGUCAGGGAGACACCAGUCGUCCUGAGCCUCCUACUUCACUAAGGGGAACAGCGGCACGCCCAUGUCCUUCAGGGCUGGUCAUGCCACCCAUGGACAGGAGAGACUGGCCCAUGGGUGAGUGAGGCUCACCCUGGAAGACUGCACGUUUCCUAAGAAGGUCCACGUCCACUUCCUCUACUCCCCAAGCUCUUGGAGCCUAUGGACGGGUAAUGUAUUUAUCAACUACCCACCAGGUGCCCAGCACAAUGUCCGGGGCUUCUGCAGCCCAUCCUGACUCCACUUUGGAAAACAGUUUCUGUAAGUUUUAGUGUAUACUGGACAAAAGUCAAAGC
Molecule: long non-coding RNA, 986 nt
Filed under: Fukomys damarensis (Damara mole-rat)
Lineage: Eukaryota; Metazoa; Chordata; Mammalia; Rodentia; Bathyergidae
Description: lncRNA (ENSFDAG00000028361.1)
Source: RNAcentral